Molecule: long non-coding RNA, 639 nt
Organism: Micropterus dolomieu (smallmouth bass)
Lineage: Eukaryota; Metazoa; Chordata; Actinopteri; Centrarchiformes; Centrarchidae
Exons: 3
Source: RefSeq, a predicted model, not a curated record
CUGUAAAAGAAUUUGCUCAAGUUCCUCUGUCAUCUCGACUGCUCAGUGCUAUCACCGUCGGUCAAUCGGUUAACGCUAAUAUUUCUAUUAAACCUGUCGAGAUAAUGCGAGUUGUCCUUUCGCGGAGGGGUUUAUCAACGGUGUCCCCAAGUAUGCUAAGUUACACCUGUCAAAUAUGUAAACAACUCCUCUGUGUCCAGCUAUAAUCGCUAGCUACCGAGUUUUCCGUGAAAGUUCAGUUUAAAAAUAGUCGGAUCCGUGUGAAGUUAUCGAGCCGGGAAGCAGAGUUUGACAGAUUCGAGCCUCCUGCUCGGUCUGGUCCGUUAAUACUUCAACUGCCAGCACGCGGGGCAGAACCGGCCAGGAGUUCCAUGUGAGUUCAGUUAAAGGGACCUGCAGCCGUCAGCGUUUUCAGCGUCAUGGAAACAAACAGCGCCCCAACCGGAGAGGAGGGCACGGUACAAACAUUAUAAACCGUAUUUUAGUCAAUUUAGUCAAUUUACUCAUUUUACAUACAAAACAAGUGUUUGGGCAGCAAAAACUGCUGCACAAAACUCCACCCACUACUCAGGCAAAGAAAAUGGCUCACAGACCUCAAGACGAUUUCGCCAAUCGACCUGAAACUUUGGCAGGAUCAUC